CUGGCUCCGUUCCGGGGUCCGAGUUGUAAUUUGUAGAGGAUGCUUCGGGCGCGGCACCGGUCUAAGUCCCUUGGAACAGGGCGUCAUAGAGGGUGAGGAUCCCGUAUGUGACCGGCGACCAAGUCCAGGUGAAGCUCCUUCGACGAGUCGAGUUGUUUGGGAAUGCAGCUCAAAAUGGGUGGUAAAUUUCAUCUAAAGCUAAAUACCGGCCAGAGACCGAUAGCGCACAAGUAGAGUGAUCGAAAGAUGAAAAGCACUUUGGAAAGAGAGUCAAAAAGUACGUGAAAUUGUUGAAAGGGAAGCGCUUGUAACCAGACCUGCCGUCGGGUGCUCAGCGGGCACUUGUGCCCGCCUAUUCACCCGCGAUCAGGCCAGCAUCGGUUUUGGCGGCCGGAUAAAGACUCGAGGAAUGUAGCUUCGCUUCGGGGAAGUGUUAUAGCCUCGGGUGCAAUACGGCCAGCCGGGACCGAGGACCGCGCUUCGGCUAGGAUGCUGGCGUAAUGGUUGCAAGCGACCCGUCUUGAAACACGGACCAAGGAGUCUAACAUCUAUGCGAGUGUUUGGGUGUCAAACCCAUGCGCGGAAUGAAAGUGAACGGAGGUGGGAACCCUCAAGGGCGCACCAUCGACCGAUCCGGAAGUUUACGGAUGGAUUUGAGUAUGAGCAUAGCUGUUGGGACCCGAAAGAUGGUGAACUAUGCCUGAAUAGGGUGAAGCCAGAGGAAACUCUGGUGGAGGCUCGCAGCGGUUCUGACGUGCAAAUCGAUCGUCAAAUUUGGGUAUAGGGGCGAAAGACUAAUCGAACCAUCUAGUAGCUGGUUCCUGCCGAAGUUUCCCUCAGGAUAGCAGUAACGUUUUCAGUUUUAUGAGGUAAAGCGAAUGAUUAGAAACCUUGGGGAUGAAACAUCCUUAAUUUAUUCUCAAACUUUAAAUAUGUAAGAAGUCCUUGUUACUUAGUUGAACGUGGACAUUUGAAUGCACCGUUACUAGUGGGCCAUUUUUGGUAAGCAGAACUGGCGAUGCGGGAUGAACCGAACGUGGGGUUAAGGUGCCGGAAUGUACGCUCAUCAGACACCAAGGGGGAGACUUGUGGUGUCGGGCUGGGGGGGAGACCACCCAGCGUCAGUCUGCUUAAGGCGAGGUCUUUGACCUGUUAGGGGUCGGUGGUCGCUCCGCGAUGGCCUACCCUCCGCUGUCCCCUUCCGCGGGGGGCAGCUCACAGAUCAAGCAAAGGCCGGCGGCAGGAUGCCGUUGGAGAUAUGAUCGGCCCCUGGAGG
Molecule: ribosomal RNA, 1276 nt
Filed under: Niebla juncosa
Lineage: Eukaryota; Fungi; Ascomycota; Lecanoromycetes; Lecanorales; Ramalinaceae
Description: partial large subunit ribosomal RNA
Rfam family: Eukaryotic large subunit ribosomal RNA
Source: RNAcentral